RNAcentral lists this non-coding RNA (28 nucleotides) under Mus musculus (house mouse). The record is from RNAcentral. Lineage: Eukaryota; Metazoa; Chordata; Mammalia; Rodentia; Muridae.
CCCAAGCUUCUGACCUUCAGGCUAGACU